This 254-nucleotide ribosomal RNA is filed under the name uncultured bacterium. RNAcentral's name for it is "partial 16S ribosomal RNA". It matches the Rfam family "Bacterial small subunit ribosomal RNA", at positions 524 to 776 of the family's 1533-position model. The record is from RNAcentral.
UACGGAGGGUGCGAGCGUUGUCCGGAAUCAUUGGGCGUAAAGGGCGCGUAGGUGGCCUGCUAAGCGUGCGGUGAAAGUCGGGGGCUCAACCCCCGAUCGGCCGUGCGAACUGGGAGGCUUGAGCACUGUAGAGGCAGGCGGAAUUCCGGGUGUAGCGGUGGAAUGCGUAGAGAUCCGGAAGAACACCGGUGGCGAAGGCGGCCUGCUGGGCAGUAGCUGACGCUGAGGCGCGACAGCGGUGGGGAGCAAACAGG